RNAcentral lists this long non-coding RNA (341 nucleotides) under Phasianus colchicus (ring-necked pheasant). RNAcentral's name for it is "lncRNA (ENSPCLG00000019670.1)". The record is from RNAcentral. Lineage: Eukaryota; Metazoa; Chordata; Aves; Galliformes; Phasianidae.
CUUGACUCUAGUCUUUUGUUGUUACUUACUGAUGGAUAUCUUGUUUCCAUGUGUCUACGUGGGAGAAUGAGUGAAAUGAAAUGCAGUACUUCAGUCCAGGAAAAAAAGAAGGCAUUUAGCUGCAGAUCUGAGAACAUCAAAGAUAUUAUCAUUUUUGUUUGAGCCAGUUCACCAAAACCCCCUUGGUUACGAGUUUGAUGAGGAGGAGUAAUAGUGAUGAGACAAGCGAGCAAAAAAGGGAAACAAGUUGGCAGCAAAAAGAAGGACAUUCACCAGGAAUAGAGCAGAUGCGUCUUCAUGUUUCACAUCAUGCAUGUUUUACACUGGAAGCCUGUUUUCCU